RNAcentral lists this ribosomal RNA (439 nucleotides) under uncultured bacterium. RNAcentral's name for it is "partial 16S ribosomal RNA". It matches the Rfam family "Bacterial small subunit ribosomal RNA", at positions 339 to 795 of the family's 1533-position model. The record is from RNAcentral.
CUACGGGGGGCUGCAGUGGGGAAUAUUGCACAAUGGAGGAAACUCUGAUGCAGCAACGCCGCGUGGAGGAUGACGCAUUUCGGUGUGUAAACUCCUUUUAUAUGGGAAGAUAAUGACGGUACCAUAUGAAUAAGCACCGGCUAACUCCGUGCCAGCAGCCGCGGUAAUACGGAGGGUGCAAGCGUUACUCGGAAUCACUGGGCGUAAAGCGCGCGCAGGCGGCCUUUUAAGUUGGAUGUGAAAGCCUACGGCUCAACCGUAGAACUGCAUCCAAAACUACUAGGCUAGAGUGUGGGAGAGGAAGAUGGAAUUAGUUGUGUAGGGGUAAAAUCCGUAGAGAUAACUAGGAAUACCAAAAGCGAAGGCAAUCUUCUGGAACAUUACUGACGCUGAGGCGCGAAAGCGUGGGGAGCAAACAGGAUUAGAUACCCUAGUAGUC